RNAcentral lists this long non-coding RNA (811 nucleotides) under Nicotiana benthamiana. Its description in RNAcentral is "long non-coding RNA (NBEN_LNC029788)". The record is from RNAcentral. Lineage: Eukaryota; Viridiplantae; Streptophyta; Magnoliopsida; Solanales; Solanaceae.
AAGUCACCGAAAAAUCACCCAAAAAUCAUCGGAAAAACUCCCAGAACGUUCGAAUGAAGAAGAUAUACUCAGAUAUCUCGGUGAAAGUCUCAGAAAAGUAUCCGAUUUAGAUCGAAAUCGUCAUCGACCACAUACGUCAGAAACAUCCCCAAAAAUCUCAAAGGAUACUUCAACCAAGAUAACAAGAUGCAGAAAAACAUAGUCGGAUCAUCGUCUAGGCUCUGAUACCAUGAAAACUUUGAGAUUUAAACUGAAGAAUCAUGGAGAAUAUAGUGAGAGAAUUUAGAGAGAAGGAGGAGCAGUUGAGAGAACUCUCUAGAAGAGAGAGAAUUUUAUUAAUCAGAAAAUGAAAGCCAAAAAACAUGGAGAUUUGAAGCAGAAAACAAGAGAUGAAGAUGAACAGUGAGAAUGAGAGAGAGAGAGAGAUGAGAACCUUCUGGUGGAAACCCGAGAAGGAAAAAUGAAUUCCUUAAUAAAAAUAUCUGAUACAUGGCUAUAUAUACACCUAGAAUUGGGUCGGGUCAGACGGCCCAAUGACGAAAAUAAAAUGGGGCUCAGAUACAUAUUGGGCUCAGACACACAUUUAACCCAAACAACAAAUCAAUCAUCAUAGCCCACUCCCACCUAUACAAUGUAUACUAGAGAAUACAAUAAAUAUACAACGUAUAUACAGCGUAUACAAUUAUGUAAGCUCUUUUAUCUCAACACCUGUCAUAGCCCACUCCCACCUAUAUAAUGUAUACCAGAGAAUACAAUAAAUAUACAACGUAUAUACAGUGUGUACAAUCAUAUAAGCUCUUUCAUCUCAACA